GACGAACGCUGGCGGCGUGCCUAAUACAUGCAAGUCGAACGCAGUGGGGACGGGUGAGUAACACGUGGGUAACCUCCCAUCAGAGGGGAUAAAACUUGGAAAAAGGUGCUAAAACGAUACUGAUGGAUGAACCCGCGGUGCCUUAGCUAGUUGGUUAGGUAACGGCUUACCAAGGACACGAUGCAUAGCUGACCUGAGAGGGUGAUCGGCCACACGGGGACUGAGACACGGCCCAGACUCCUACGGUAGGCAGCAGUAGGGAAUCUUACGCAAUGGACGAAAGUCUGACCGAGAAACGCCGCGUGAGUGAAGAAGGUUUUCGGAUCGUAAAACUCUGUUGUUUGAGAAGCGGUAUCUAACCAGAAAGCCACGGCUAACUACGUGCCAGCAGCCGCGGUAAUAC
This 403-nucleotide ribosomal RNA is filed under the name uncultured bacterium. Its description in RNAcentral is "partial 16S ribosomal RNA". It matches the Rfam family "Bacterial small subunit ribosomal RNA", at positions 28 to 526 of the family's 1533-position model. The record is from RNAcentral.